This 340-nucleotide RNase P RNA is filed under the name Massilia sp. Its description in RNAcentral is "RNase P RNA component class A". It matches the Rfam family "Bacterial RNase P class A". Rfam says of the family: Ribonuclease P (RNase P) is a ubiquitous endoribonuclease, found in archaea, bacteria and eukarya as well as chloroplasts and mitochondria. Its best characterised activity is the generation of mature 5'-ends of tRNAs by cleaving the 5'-leader elements of precursor-tRNAs. The record is from RNAcentral. Lineage: Bacteria; Pseudomonadati; Pseudomonadota; Betaproteobacteria; Burkholderiales; Oxalobacteraceae.
GAAGCAGGCCAGACAGCCGCUGGCUGACGGUAAUGCGUUGGCGGGAGGAAGGUCCGGACUCCAUAGAGCAGGGUGACGGUUAACGGCCGUCCGCCGAAAGGGCGCAAGCUUAUAAGGCGAGGAAUAGGGCCACAGAGACGAGCGUAUUCAGUUACGGUGAAACGCGGUAACCUCCACUCGGAGCAAUUCCAAAUAGGCACGCGAUGAUGUUGCUCGCGGAGCGUGCGGGUAGGAAGCUUGAGCGCCGGAGUAAUUCGGCGCCUAGAGGAAUGGCUGUCAUAGCGGGCGUUCGCAAGGGCGCCCGCCGUAACAAAAUCCGGCCUAUCGGCCCGCUUCACAU